AUUGAACGCUGGCGGCAUGCCUUACACAUGCAAGUCGAACGGCAGCACGGGUGCUUGCACCUGGUGGCGAGUGGCGAACGGGUGAGUAAUACAUCGGAACGUACCUUAUCGUGGGGGAUAACGCAGCGAAAGCUGUGCUAAUACCGCAUACGCCCUGAGGGGGAAAGCGGGGGAUCGCAAGACCUCGCGCGAUUAGAGCGGCCGAUGCCUGAUUAGCUUGUUGGUGGGGUAAAAGCCCACCAAGGCGACGAUCAGUAGCUGGUCUGAGAGGACGAUCAGCCACUGGGACUGAGACACGGCCCAGACUCCUACGGGAGGCAGCAGUGGGGAAUUUUGGACAAUGGGGGCAACCCUGAUCCAGCAAUGCCGCGUGAGUGAAGAAGGCCUUCGGGUUGUAAAGCUCUUUUGUCAGGGAAGAAACACCGGCUCUAACACAGUCCGGGAAUGACGGUACCUGAAGAAUAAGCACCGGCUAACUACGUGCCAGCCGCCGCAGUAA
RNAcentral lists this ribosomal RNA (499 nucleotides) under uncultured bacterium. RNAcentral describes it as "partial 16S ribosomal RNA". It matches the Rfam family "Bacterial small subunit ribosomal RNA", at positions 29 to 523 of the family's 1533-position model. The record is from RNAcentral.